GACGAACGCUGGCGGCGGGCUUAACACAUGCAAGUCGAACGGAAAGGCCCUGCUUUUGUGGGGUGCCCGAGUGGCGAACGGGUGAGAAACACGUGAGUAACCUGCCCUUGACUUUGGGAUAACUUCAGGAAACUGGGGCUAAUACCGGAUAGGAGCUCCUGCUGCAUGGUGGGGGUUGGAAAGUUUCGGCGGUUGGGGAUGGACUCGCGGCUUAUCAGCUUGUUGGUGGGGUAGUGGCUUACCAAGGCUUUGACGGGUAGCCGGCCUGAGAGGGUGACCGGCCACAUUGGGACUGAGAUACGGCCCAGACUCCUACGGGAGGCAGCAGUGGGGAAUAUUGCACAAUGGGCGGAAGCCUGAUGCAGCAACGCCGCGUGCGGGAUGACGGCCUUCGGGUUGUAAACCGCUUUCGCCUGUGACGAAGCGUGAGUGACGGUAAUGGGUAAAGAAGCACCGGCUAACUACGUG
RNAcentral lists this ribosomal RNA (468 nucleotides) under uncultured bacterium. RNAcentral describes it as "partial 16S ribosomal RNA". It matches the Rfam family "Bacterial small subunit ribosomal RNA", at positions 28 to 507 of the family's 1533-position model. The record is from RNAcentral.